This 744-nucleotide ribosomal RNA is filed under the name uncultured bacterium. Its description in RNAcentral is "bacterial SSU rRNA". It matches the Rfam family "Bacterial small subunit ribosomal RNA", at positions 8 to 796 of the family's 1533-position model. The record is from RNAcentral.
AGAGUUUGAUCCUGGCUCAGAACGAACGCUGGCGGCAGGCCUCAAACAUGCAAGUCUAGGGGGCGUAGCAAUACGUCACCGGCGGACGGGUGCGUAACACGUGGGAAUAUACCUUUCGGUACGGAACAACUGAGGGAAACUUCAGCUAAUACCGUAUACGUCCUAACGGAGAAAGAUUUAUCGCCGAAGGAUUAGCCCGCGUUCGAUUAGCUAGUUGGUGAGGUAAUGGCUCACCAAGGCAACGAUCGAUAGCUGUUCUGAGAGGAAGAUCAGCCACACUGGGACUGAGACACGGCCCAGACUCCUACGGGAGGCAGCAGUUGGGAAUCUUGGACAAUGGGGGCAACCCUGAUCCAGCCAUGCCGCGUGAGUGAUGAAGGCCUUCGGGUUGUAAAGCUCUUUUACCCGGGAAGAUAAUGACUGUACCGGGAGAAUAAGCUCCGGCUAACUUCGUGCCAGCAGCCGCGGUAAUACGAAGGGGGCUAGCGUUGUUCGGAAUUACUGGGCGUAAAGCGCGCGCAGGCGGUUUCUCAAGUCAGUGGUGAAAGCCCGGAGCUCAACUCCGGAACUGCCAUUGAAACUGUGAAACUUGAGGACGAGAGAGGUGAGUGGAAUUCCCAGUGUAGAGGUGAAAUUCGUAGAUAUUGGGAAGAACACCGGUGGCGAAGGCGGCUCACUGGCUCGUUUCUGACGCUCAGGCGCGACAGCGUGGGGAUCAAACAGGAUUAGAUACCCUAGUAGUCC